Molecule: long non-coding RNA, 273 nt
Filed under: Hordeum vulgare
Lineage: Eukaryota; Viridiplantae; Streptophyta; Magnoliopsida; Poales; Poaceae
Description: long non-coding RNA (HVUL_LNC019639)
Source: RNAcentral
AGAAGAAUAAUAAGAAGAAGAAGAAUGAGAAGAAGAAGAAGAAGAAGAAGAAGAAGAAGAACAAGAAGAACAAGAAGAAGAACAAGAAAAAGAACAACAAGAAUAAUAAGAAUAAUAAUAACUAGCGGGCAUACCCGCGCGUUUACGCGGCUAGACCAUUGUUAUGUACUAUUUAUAUCUUUUAGUUAACUAUUUCUUGGCAUUUUAGUGCUUUUUUUAUAUUGGUGGAAAAUCGACAUAGAAUAUCAUUGUGUUCCCCUAAAAAUUGGUUCA